CAAAGGCCAACACCACAGGCAGCGCUGGGUGUGGAAGCGACCUCCUACUCGAAAUCCUCGGCGAUGAAGUCCGAGUCUUCCUCUGAAGCAACAAAACAAGGGUGAGUACAAAAGUACUCAAUGAGUCCAACCCCAUCCACGGAGGGGAAUACAAUCAAGAAUGUGCACAGGAUAUAUCAAGGAUAAGGCUAAGGUUUAUUUGCAAUAAAGCUAAAUUUAACCUCAUGCAAGGGUUCAUUUUAAAAAGGAUUUUCACAAAACAUUUGUUUUAGUAACCGAAUCAAUAAGUGGGGUUGAUCCUACAUGAAGGAUCCAUAUUUUAAUGGUACUGGACUCCUCAUCCGCAGUAGCUCACGGCACAACUGCCAGACACUUCCAAAAUCCAACACACACCAUGAAAACCAUCCAUCUCC
RNAcentral lists this long non-coding RNA (413 nucleotides) under Setaria viridis. RNAcentral's name for it is "long non-coding RNA (SVIR_LNC002774)". Lineage: Eukaryota; Viridiplantae; Streptophyta; Magnoliopsida; Poales; Poaceae. The record is from RNAcentral.